CCUACGGGCGGCAGCAGUGAGGAAUAUUGGUCAAUGGGCGCGAGCCUGAACCAGCCAAGUCGCGUGAGGGAAGACGGUCCUAUGGAUUGUAAACCUCUUUUGUCGGGGAGCAAAAGACGCCACUCGUGGCUUUCCGAGAGUACCCUACGAGAAAGCAUCGGCUAACUCCUGGCCAGCAGCCGCGGUAAUACGGAGGAUGCGAGCGUUAUCCGGAUUUAUUGGGUUAAAGGGGUGGGCAGACGGAAGAUAAAGUCAGCGGUAAAAUUGAGAGGCUCAACCUGUUCGAGCCGUUGAAACUGGUUUUCUUGAGUGAGCGAGAAGUAUGCGGAAUGCGUGGUGUAGCGGUGAAAUGCAUAGAUAUCACGAAGAACUCCGAUGGCGAAGGCAGCAUACCGGCGCUCAACUGACGCUCAUGCACGAAAGUGAGGGUAUCGAACAGGAUUAGAUACCCUUGUAGUC
This 459-nucleotide ribosomal RNA is filed under the name uncultured bacterium. Its description in RNAcentral is "partial 16S ribosomal RNA". It matches the Rfam family "Bacterial small subunit ribosomal RNA", at positions 338 to 795 of the family's 1533-position model. The record is from RNAcentral.